UUUAAUUUUGAAAAAUUUAAAACUUGGUCUGGCUCAACAAAUUUACAGAAGACCGUUUACAGCAAAACUUAAACAA
Molecule: transfer RNA, 76 nt
Filed under: Salmonella phage FSL SP-107
Lineage: Duplodnaviria; Heunggongvirae; Uroviricota; Caudoviricetes; Andersonviridae
Description: tRNA-Met
Source: RNAcentral